AGGUUUCAGAUGAGCAGACAAGGACCUGACACAAAGCUGAGAGGAGCUCUGCACUGAAACCCAUGGGAGGCUGCAACCCGUCCUGCCUCAUCCUCUGCCUUCUGCCUUGGGGGCUUUGCAAAGCCCAGAGACUCAUCUUCUGGGUAACCUUGUGUCUGAGGGUUAUUUCUCAUCUGAGGGAUUUCUCCAGACUUUUUGUCAUUCCUUGAGGAUGUAUAUACCUAUACAUGCAUAUAUAUACACACACCUAUAUAUGCUUAUGAAGGCAAUCCCUACUCCCUUCUCCUUGGGUUGGGUUUCUCCUUCUCAACCAAUUGCAACCACCCUAUCAGUGGACUUUGCAGGCUGGUCUCUCUGAUAGCUGUUGACUCAUGGCCAUUAGAUUAAAAAUCUGUUAUUUCCUCAUCACCUUGUGUCGUUGCUAGGUGAUAAAUGCAUCUCCCAGGCAGCAAGAGGGACUCCUGCAACAUACGGCAAUUUAUGACUGUCCAUUAUCCCUUCUGCUUAAUGGGCCUGGUCCUUUCGAUGGGAGGAAGACGUGCAACUCCAGGAUCAUCCAAAGGUUUCUUCGUCCAGCACGUCUGCUGGGAGCUCCCCUCCCUGCUCGACCUCACUGCUGUGGUUGGCUCGGCCUUUGCUUUUGCAGCUGUGUUCUUGGCACCUGGGUUUGGUCGGACUGCAGUCAUCCUCCCAGUGUGUCCUGGGAAGUCUUUGUGCAGGAGCAAGGCUCCGCAGGUCACUCUCACAUCUGAGUCAACUGCAGCUCGCUGCUGUUCCUGGCAGUCCAGGGAGCCCUUCUGCCUGUGCGGGUGUUUCAGCAGGGAAAAUCCAGCAGAGAACAAGGGGUCAGAGAAGCCUUUUGCCUGGCAGAAAGCUAACGGAAAAGGAAUCUCCUUUUAG
RNAcentral lists this long non-coding RNA (900 nucleotides) under Anas platyrhynchos platyrhynchos (common mallard). Its description in RNAcentral is "lncRNA (ENSAPLG00000025058.1)". Lineage: Eukaryota; Metazoa; Chordata; Aves; Anseriformes; Anatidae. The record is from RNAcentral.